This is a long non-coding RNA of Equus quagga, 3933 nucleotides long. RefSeq lists it as uncharacterized. The transcript has 2 exons. The record is from RefSeq and is a predicted model, not a curated record. NCBI's taxonomy places the organism in Eukaryota, Metazoa, Chordata, Mammalia, Perissodactyla, Equidae.
GGCAUUUUUGGGGGAUGGGGGGAGCUGAGUGUGGGCGUCUGUGUGGAAGACUGAGCAGCCUCUACGAUGUGGAGGAACCAGGUAGCAGUCAGUGUGGGGGUGUCUGUUUGUAGCCUGAUUGUGCAUUGGAUUCUCCCCCUUGGCUGUGAGCUUCUGGAAGACAGGGACUUCCUCCGAGUGGUAACUCUAGCUGCAGUUUCUGGCACUGGGCUGAAUACUCCUUCGUUUAACACGUAUUUACUCCUCCAUGCCAGGUGCGGGGCUGAGCCCCUGAGGGAAUGGUGGUGACUAUCGCUGUCUUGGUGCCUGUAGCAUGGUGCUUACAGACCAGUGGACUCUGGAAUGAAUGAACUUGUAUAGGGGAUGGCCAGUAGGGGGACUCCAGGGCAGCUUGUGUGUGCUGUGGGGCGCUGAGGGUCCAACAAUGGGUCUUUGGAAGAGAAGGAACCAACUUCCUGUCUGUUUGGGAGAGGGGAGACUCUGCCUUUCACAACAGGAAUUUGGGGCAGGAUUGGGACAGGAGUAAGGUCCCAGGGUCCCAGUGACCCCAUCUCCCCGGUGACCCCAUCUCUCCCUUUCCUCAAAGGGUCUGGAGCCGGAGGUUGCAGAAGCUGGUUAGACCUAAGGAUGAUUGGCCCUUGACGACACUCUUCUGGAAGGCUCCCUGGAAGAGGAACCCUGACCCUCAUCCUUAUUUUAUGACCAGCCUCUCCUCUGUUCCGGCCCAGCCCCAACUCGGCCACGCUCCACCCACCAAGGGUCCCGCCCCUUUCUAGCCAUGCCCAUAGCUUGGGUCUCACCUUCCCUUUUGGCUCACUCACCUUCUGGAACCCCUCCUUCUCUUUCAUUUGGUCCUGCCCCCUCCUUGUGCUGGUUUUGCCCUAGCUCUGCCUUGCCCCGCCCCUAAUUUUGGCGUCGUCCCCCACCUCCCCAGGCCCGGCCUCUGGCAACACCCCAGCUCCUGACUCGGCCUCUCUUAUCCUGUCUCUCCCUAGGGCAAUGAAGCCUCUUUGCCCAUCUCCCACUUCUUGGAGCGUCAUUGUGGGUCUCUUGUCCGUGAGAGACCGGCGACCUACCCCAGGAGUCCCUGCCUCUGGCCUCAUGGGGACGUCGGAGCUCCGGCAUCCAAGUUGAAGAACUCAACAGUGGUCGAGGACUUCCUCGACACGACUUGCUCUGUGGCGGCAGUCGAGAGGUCAGAAUGGGCUCCAGGCGGAGCUCAGCCCGGAGUUGGAGGGCUGACCUUUCCUUGAGGGCACAAUGGAGCAUUUUAGGUCAGCGAGGGCACGACCGGCUUUGGCUAAGAAAGGAGGACCUUACAGACAAUGGGUCAUUGUGUUAUGGCAAAUUUCAACCACUAGGGGGAGCCAGCUCCCCUCCCACCCCUCAAUGGUCAAUCACCUUUAUGGGGCCACGCCCUGAGUCCUAAUAUAUAUUUCUUUUUUUAAAAAAGGAGAGUUCUCUUUGUUUUUUUCCUAGUCUCGUGGGCUUCUCUUCUGGAAAUCCUGCUCCCCUAGGAGCAUUAAGAGAACCUUGAGUCUGCUGCUGCUUGGGAGGCCUUCUCCCUGCUUUUCGGUGGGGUCAGCAUUUAUUGCCUUGGGCGUGGUGAAUUCUCCUUCCCACUCCAGGGGGGCUAUGUAUCGGAUCUCCUUAUCUGAAAGAGCAUAUUCGAUCCGGUAAUAUAAUUUUGUAUUUGGAAAACAAACGUCGUUUCUUCCGUAUAGAUUACAGGCAACCUCGUUGGCUGGAGAGGUAACAGUUAAUAACAAUGGCUGUGAUUCCGAGAGUGCAUUCCUGGAAUCAGGAACUGUGCUAAGCACAUUUCCGAGAUUGUUUUAUUUAAUCCUCACAACAUCCCAGUGAGGUAGGUGCCUUUAUUAUCCUCACUAAUCUGAAGGACUGGGAUGAGAACAGUGUGUUAGGGAGCCGCGUGGCCUGCUUUUAAAUUGCAAUCAGAGGUCUCCCACAAGCUGUGCGCAGGCUGCACUUGGCCUGCUGAUGUGUUUUAUUUGACCUCUACAAUGUUUAAACAAAAAGUGGCUCUACAUCUAUAAAUUGAGAGAUUUCACAUAAAAAUUCAGAUUUCUGGAUUCUCAAAACUGGAUUUGUAUUCCCAUAGGGCGACAGUCCGUGGGAGGGGAACAGUGGCUGCCCCUUUAGAUGAGGUAUGCGCUCUGCAGUCCAUCUCAGUCUUCUUCCUGCAUUUGUGUUCCCCACCCGGACCCUGUGGGCUAGUGGAUUUCGACUCUGGCUGCACAUUAGGAUCCCUGGAGAGCUUUAAAAACAAACAAACAAACAGCAACAACAAAGCAACAUCUAACAGUCUAAGGGGAGUCUCCGGUAUCGCUACUUUUUCCCCCCUCCCCCCUGCUCGCCACCAUGAGAUGACUCUGACGUGCAGCCAGGGCUGAGAACCAUUACUAGAAUCGCUUGAGUUUGCAACUUCUGGUCUUGAGCCCUGGCUGCUCCACUCGCUCUGCCUCUCUGACCUCGAGGGCUUGGUAAAGAGCGUUCAUCUGCCUUUGUGCAAAGAGGACUCUGAGGGAGGCGCAAGGACCGGGAAGACAGGUAUUCAAUAGUCUGGCCCCUGGCCAUCUUUUAAUCACAUGCCUCUGGAGACAGGACUAAAACCGUCUGUUCUGCUCUGAGACCACAUCUCAGCUUUCCCUUGGAUCUGCCAGCCCCCAAGUCUGGGCCCCAAGGGUGGAGAGCCUGGAAGCUUAGGUCACUUGUUCAUGUGUUCACUCUCUCUCCACUGGCAGCUCCAAGUCUGCUAUUUCUUAAGUGGAGCGGGGUCAGCAUUACUCAUGUGUAAUUAAGGUAGCUACCUCCCUUCCUUCCUCCAUGCCUGCAAUUCUACCACCGGAGACACACGCACUUGCCUAUGGCUCUGAUCUCCCGAAGCAAUUAAGAGUCCAUCAAUCACUCACACACAUCCAUGUGAUUGAUUUUUCCUAAGCUGUUUUCCUGGAGAUCUGAUCUGUGGGUGAACAUCUGGCCAGCUGAAGCUUCAUCAAAGCACAGAUUAGAAGCACAGAUUGGGAGAGGGUUACUGUUGCUAUCUUGGGCUCCUGAGGGGCCCUGGAGUUGCAAAGACUGGAGGAAGAAAGUCUGCCCCUUCCUGAUCGCCCCAGCCCUCCCCGCUCUGCUUGCCUCCCACGAUCUUGGUUGUCUGGGAGAAGGUCUUCACGUGGGUGGUGAGGCUGGAGAGCUCCAGAGACACGUGCUCCUGCAGCAUCUGCUUGUGGUGAAUGGUUGUCAUGGUGACAGCAGGCGUGGGCACUCACCUGGGAGGACCAGGGAGAGGACGAGGCCAUGGAGGACAAGGGAGGGAGCAGGAGAGAGAUUCAGAGACGUUCUAUGUGUGUAGGGGGGAAGGGACGGGGCAGGUGGACACAGUGGAGACGGCUGUGCACAGAAGAGGGUGAGGAGAGGCUGGCCAGCAAGCCUCUGCUUUCUAGCCUCUCUUUUCUUCCCUUUGUAUCUCCCUUUCCCUGGUGGGUUACAAGAACCAAUGGGCCUGUUGCCCACUGAGUAACCCCAACCCAUUCCAAGUUCGCCGAGGGGGAGGAUGUAGGGGUUAGACUUACCCAGCGAACCCAGGAAGGCCCAGAGGGACUUGAAGAUACCCAUGGAUAGCUACGUGGACUAGGGACGCAGCGCUGGCUGUUUCCGCAGGAGAGAAUGAAGUCAGACCUGGAAGGGACUUCCUGACUAAGCCAUCCUGGGGCCAGCCUUGAAAGGAAACUGUGGGCCUUCUUCCUGGGCCCUGGGGACCCUGGCCUUGGUGGAAUGCUAAGACAGACGAUAGCACAUUUCUAUGGGCCUCUUUCAUUUGUGACAUGGUAAAGACAGGUUGAGUUUUUAUUUCUUAAACUUUUUUUGAAUUGGUAGUUCAAUCACACAGUGAAAAAAUAAAACAAUAUAAAUAUC